RNAcentral lists this long non-coding RNA (1054 nucleotides) under Cyanistes caeruleus (blue tit). RNAcentral describes it as "lncRNA (ENSCCEG00000024425.1)". The record is from RNAcentral. Lineage: Eukaryota; Metazoa; Chordata; Aves; Passeriformes; Paridae.
AGAACACAAGGACAAAGUGGAAGAAUAAGCAAGUGGAAAAGAGAGGCAAAAUAAGUUUUAUAGCAACAAUACCAGCUUUGCCUUCCAGUAAUAUCUAGGGCUCAAGCAAGCUCAAUUGAAGCAGCAACUAUAUACUGUUUCACACAGAAGGAGCAUAGAAACAGUGGAUAACAGUAGACAAAGUGGUAAUUCCCUGGAUACGUGCAAAGAAUAUGGGGAAAAAAAAGAAUAAAACUUGCCAGAAGGAACCUCAUAUACAUGGGCAGGUAUAUAUACAACAGUAUUUUUAAUCUGAAUGAACCUGGGAGAGAACUAAGGAAAGAAAACAAAGUAUUUGUUCAUGGUUGGAGAAACUUUAUUUGGCUGACAAUAAAGACUUGUGACUGGACAUCAUUUGCUCUGAACCAGUACCUGACCACAGGAGACUUCUUAGGAUAACCACUGCCUUCAGAAGGAGAAAGAUGGUGUGGCAUGGGUGAAGAAGAUGCAGCCCCUCAUACCUAAAGUUUACCAGCAGAGGACACAACACAGAAUGUGGGGAGAGCGGCUGUGUUGCUGUGCAUCCUCGCACUCGCAUUGCAGCUUUGUCCUGGCCUUUUAAGAUGUUGGCUUGGAUUUGACAGAGGUGCACCUGGCAGUCUGCAGCCAAUGCAGCCAAAAGCCCCUUAUGUUUCUGUGAGGCUCUAUUUCCUGUUAGUAAAAUUAAAGUAUUUAAAAAUAAGGAGUCAUCCAGGUAUGCUUGUUAAAAAAACUGUACAAACCCUGGGAUUAUUUGAAUAGUUUUUUCCUAAAAGUUCAGUAAUUACUUGGAAAAUUAAUACAGUAUCUUUUAAGGGAAAUAUUGUCUGUUUGAAAGUCAAUGUGUAUUGCCUUCAGGAAGUUCUUCUGAUGUCUUUGAGUGGACUCUACAAAGUAAAUACCUUCCUGUACACUGAUUAGUAAACUAUUAAUAUAAUAGAUAUAGAAGGACAGAGUCAACAUUUUUGGUUCUUAUUGUUCAAUGUUUUUUAAAGCCUUUGCUGUGAAUAAAAAGAGACUUUAAUAUGCUCCUGCA